RNAcentral lists this ribosomal RNA (468 nucleotides) under uncultured bacterium. RNAcentral describes it as "partial 16S ribosomal RNA". It matches the Rfam family "Bacterial small subunit ribosomal RNA", at positions 28 to 507 of the family's 1533-position model. The record is from RNAcentral.
GACGAACGCUGGCGGCGUGCUUAACACAUGCAAGUCGAACGGAAAGGCCCUGCUUUUGUGGUGUGCUCGAGUGGCGAACGGGUGAGUAACACGUGAGUAACCUGCCCUUGACUUUGGUAUAACUUCAGGAAACUGGGGCUAAUCCCGGAUAGGAGCUCCUGCUGCAUGGUGGGCGUUGGAACGUUUCGGCGGUUGGGGAUGGACUCGCGGCUUAUCAGCUUGUUGGUGGGGUAGUGGCUUACCAAGGCUUUGACGGGUAGCCGGCCUGAGAGGGUGACCGGGCACAUGGGGACUGAGAGAGGGACCAGAGGCCUACGGGAGGCAGCAGUGGGGAAUAUUGCACAAUGGGAGGAAGCCUGAGGAAGAAACGCCGCGGGCGGGAUGACGGCCUGCGGGUUGUAAAACGCUGUCGCCUGAGACGAAGCGGGAGUGACGGUAAUGGGUAAAGAAGCACCGGCUAACUACGUG